This 346-nucleotide unclassified non-coding RNA is filed under the name soil metagenome. RNAcentral's name for it is "partial contains 5.8S ribosomal RNA, internal transcribed spacer 2, and large subunit ribosomal RNA". The stretch from base 3 to 119 matches the Rfam family "5.8S ribosomal RNA", at positions 38 to 154 of the family's 154-position model. The record is from RNAcentral.
GAGAAGAACGUAGCGAAAUGCGAUAAGUAAUGUGAAUUGCAGAAUUCAGUGAAUCAUCGAGUCUUUGAACGCACAUUGCGCCCCCUGGUAUUCCGGGGGGCAUGCCUGUCCGAGCGUCAUUGCUGCCCUCAAGCACGGCUUGUGUGUUGGGCCGUCGUCCCCCUCCUAGGGGACGGGCCCGAAAGGCAGCGGCGGCACCGCGUCCGGUCCUCGAGCGUAUGGGGCUUCGUCACCCGCUCCGUAGGCCCGGCCGGCGCUUGCCGACGACCAUCAAUCUCUUUCUCCAGGUUGACCUCGGAUCAGGUAGGGAUACCCGCUGAACUUAAGCAUAUCAAUAAGCGGAGGA